AGUGAACGCUGGCGGUAGGCCUAACACAUGCAAGUCGAACGGCAGCACAGUAAGAGCUUGCUCUUACGGGUGGCGAGUGGCGGGCGGGUGAGGAAUACAUCGGAAUCUACUUUUUCGUGGGGGAUAACGUAGGGAAACUUACGCUAAUACCGCAUACGACCUACGGGUGAAAGCAGGGGAUCUUCGGACCUUUCGCGAUUGAAUGAGCCGAUGUCGGAUUAGCUAGUUGGCGGGGUAAAGGCCCACCAAGGCGACGAUCCGUAGCUGGUCUGAGAGGAUGAUCAGCCACACUGGAACUGAGACACGGUCCAGACUCCUACGGGAGGCAGCAGUGGGGAAUAUUGGACAAUGGGCGCAAGCCUGAUCCAGCCAUACCGCGUGGGUGAAGAAGGACUUCGGGUUGUAAAGCCAUUUUGUUGGGAAAGAAAAGCAGCAGGUUAAUACCCCGCUGUUCUGACGGUACCCAAAGAAUAAGCACCGGCUAACUUCGUG
RNAcentral lists this ribosomal RNA (492 nucleotides) under uncultured bacterium. RNAcentral's name for it is "partial 16S ribosomal RNA". It matches the Rfam family "Bacterial small subunit ribosomal RNA", at positions 29 to 507 of the family's 1533-position model. The record is from RNAcentral.